AUUGAACGCUGGCGGCAUGCCUUACACAUGCAAGUCGAACGGCAGCACGGGAGCAAUCCUGGUGGCGAGUGGCGAACGGGUGAGUAAUGCAUCGGAACGUGCCCAAUCGUGGGGGAUAACGCAGCGAAAGUUGUGCUAAUACCGCAUAAGAUCUACGGAUGAAAGCGGGGGAUCGCAAGACCUCGCGCGAGUGGAGCGGCCGAUAUCAGAUUAGCUAGUUGGUGGGGUAAAGGCCCACCAAGGCGACGAUCUGUAGCUGGUCUGAGAGGACGACCAGCCACACUGGGACUGAGACACGGCCCAGACUCCUACGGGAGGCAGCAGUGGGGAAUUUUGGACAAUGGGCGCAAGCCUGAUCCAGCAAUGCCGCGUGCAGGAUGAAGGCCUCGGUUGUAAACUGCUUUGUACAGAGCGAAAGGUACGUCUUCUAAUACAGGAGGCGUCAUGACGGUA
This 453-nucleotide ribosomal RNA is filed under the name uncultured bacterium. Its description in RNAcentral is "bacterial SSU rRNA". It matches the Rfam family "Bacterial small subunit ribosomal RNA", at positions 29 to 477 of the family's 1533-position model. The record is from RNAcentral.